This 3734-nucleotide long non-coding RNA is filed under the name Canis lupus familiaris (dog). Its description in RNAcentral is "lncRNA (ENSCAFG00845003660.1)". The record is from RNAcentral. Lineage: Eukaryota; Metazoa; Chordata; Mammalia; Carnivora; Canidae.
CCUCAGAACAGCCCAGAACUCUGGGCCCUCUGCUCCCAAAGUGAGAUGGGAUGCCACACAAGCAAGAGCACCAAGGUGGUGGGGGAAUCCCACAAACCUGGAGAACAGCCCGAGGGAGAAGAGCCAAAUCUGGAGGCUGGCGCUGAGGCAGCAGAUGGCAAGGACAUCUCAUCGAAGGAUGGGGGCCCUGCACUCAAGAGCUGAGGUGUUUUCCUCUCGAGUCGGUCCGGACCCUCUCUUCAUUCUUGGAACUGUCUUUGGCCUAUGAAACCUGAGACAAACCCAGUCCUGAGAAGCUCCGAAUACAAGGAGGAGAGAGAAAUCUCUGCCUUCAGCAGGUUCCCUCCUCAGGCUUUGCUCUUUGGAGCUAUGAGGAAUCCUAUUCUCCCUGGCUCUCUAUGGAGAGGACAAAAGAAGUCUUCAUGUGUCGUGGGACUUGUCCACAGCUUCUGCAGACGGGCAAGCCAGAAUGUUCUGUAGCCAUGUGCUACUGAGCUGUGACUGUCCGGGGACCCCCAGCUGCCUCACCUUCCGAACUCUCCUAAAUGUCCACGGGGCUGUGUGGGGGGUCGGUUUGCUCUCUUUCUCUCCUUUCUCUUCAAGAGCUGGCCCAAGAGCCAACAUCCCCAGCAGGGUCGUUUUUGUUUGGCUGGCUCCACACGGUUGGUGAUGAAUAAUUUAAUAUUUAACUGGGAGAAUUGUCUGUGAAUUAUGGGAACAAUCAGGAUCGGGCUGUGAAGAGAGUGAAUAGGAGGCAGCAGGCCUGGUCAUCCUGGAAGUGGAGCCCGGAGCACUGGUGUGAAGGACGAGGGCGCAUGUUCCUGGUUUUUAAGCCCCCAGACAAAUGCCCCUCUGCUGACACCCCUGUGUCUCCUCAUAUCAAAAGUCUGUCAAUUUGGACUCUAUAGCAUCUGAGCUAUCUGAAUCCAGCCCUCAGAAAUAUUUCGCUGUUUACUAACAUGCCUGUCAGCCUUUCUUCCUCACCCGCUCCCCCACCACCAAUCCUGCGUGUGUUUUGUUUUUAAUUCGAAAGCGUUUUAAUUGGAAAUCAAAUGGACAUGUUUGCAAAUAAAUGAUGACAGACACAUGUGAAAGACAGGCCUGCGGAUGUGAGAAGAGAGGGCCAGCCAGAAGGGGUGGGUGUAACUCUGUGGAACAGAAGUGAGAAAAGAAGCUCUAGAGUCUUCUCUUUGUGCCAGGCACCACGCUGAUGAGUUUACAGGGGUGCUUUAUGGUAACCGGCACGGAGCAGCAUAAAGUUGCUCCCAUUUUAUAGAUGAGGCAACUGAGGCACCAAGAGGUUAAGUCGCUUGCCUGAGCUUGGCCAUCUAGGACAGGGCAGAGCCCAGAGCCGAGGCCCCGCAGCGUGGCUCCCGAAUUUAUGCUGUUCAUCACUGCCGAGUCCUGUUGGAAGUGGAGGUCUACCCUGUGAAUACAUGGAGAUGCAAGUCCCAUCACGGCCUGCACCUAGCAGGGGCCACUUCUCUUUCCUCAUUUGGGUGUACCCACCUAUGAAGAAGUAGGCAACUGGUCCUCUAGGUGUCGGUGCACUGCACAUUUUGGGUGCCUUGAGGGACUGAUGGAGAGGAGGAGAUGGAUGGAAGGGUGAGGAGGGAUCGAGGGGGACAGAGAGAGAGAGAGAGGGAACAAGUGUGAGCCCGAGCUAUUGCAAAUGACCCUUCUUUUUAGCCAUAGAAACCUCAGAAACUGAACGAGAUUCUUUGGGGAUGACAAGGCAACCAGGCUAAAGAGAAGGAAGGAAGAGAAGCAAAGACAUUCAGCCUGAAAAUGCACUUCAGCCUGAAAACGGUUCCUUUUGCCUCAGCAGAGCCUGACAUUUUCCAAAGACAGUGUAGGAGAGACGGGGCCUCGUCAGCUGGCCCAAGGCCCUGCUCUGUCCCUGGGGGUGGUAAACUUUCAGUGUGCCAGGAAACAGGCCUGGGCUUGCAGCUGGGGAUCAGGAAGUUUGGGGCCUCUUUCUACAGCUUACUGGGGAUAGGCCAGACUCGGGUAACUGCUUUCAAAUUUUUUAAAAAGACAAUUCUGUUUUUCUCCCUCCUAAUGGAAAUUCAUCCUGCAAAACAGGGUUUGCCUGGGAAGAAGCUGCUUACAAUGCACCCUCAGGACUCCUGGAGAAUGUUCUCAGCUGCUGGUGAUGCUUUGAGGCUGGGUGGUGCUCAUCUCACCUGCUACUGAGAGGCGGGACUCAGAUUCUGCUUAUCAAAUCAAAUGAAGGAAGGAGGCUCCAGGGCCUUAAACAUUCAGACAGUAGGGUGGUUUGUUCUGUUUCCUUCAGGGAUGGUGCAAAAAUGCUCAUUUGAGUAAAUUCAAGAUCUCCGAGGGCUUUUAAAAAUAAGAUUCUUUUAUCCACUAUCAGCUGUGACAGGCAUCUGCAUUUUGCCAGGAAGUUCAUCUGAUAAUGGGAAAAAGUACCCAGUUUCUUUUUGAAGAUAUUCCAUUUAUUCCAUGGGGACCUGGUACCACUUAUCUGUCUCCCUCUGAGGCUCAAAUGCCUGGUGAAGUGGUCAGAAUUAUGUCCACUUAAACAUAACUUGAACCUUUUAAAAAACAGUUCUGCACAGACUCCGCACUUUUCACUUGAAAGCCAUUGCUCUGGCCCAUUUCCCAAAAUACUAGAAGAGGAGUGCUUUGUUUACUAAUCAACUUACCUAUCUACAUAUUCUUCCCCUUGUCCUUCCUUUUAUCCAUCCAUCCAUCCAUCCAUCCAUCCCACUUCACUCACUCACUCACUCACUCACUCACUCACUCUAUUCAGCUCUUUCUUGGAUUUUUCAUUUAUAUGAGGCAAUACAUUUCCCCAUUCAAACAAAUACUUAAUUGAAUUUCUACUUUUCUCUGUUAUUCAUUCAUUUCUUUCUUUAUUCAUUCAUUAAUUCAGCAGUUACUGGGUAGCUACCCUAUGUCAAACUUCUUAGCACUAAUAAAAAGUUGAUGUGCAUCUUUCUAGGAGCAUAGCCUGGAACAGGGUGGUCCAGAGAAAUCCUUCCAGCCCAGGUGAGGCCUGAGUUGAGGCUUCACAAGUAAGGAGGAAUUAGCUAGAGAAAGAAGAUGAGUGUUUCAAGAGAAGGGGAAUGUAUGACCCAAGAUAGGAAGCUGCGUGGGGCAUGAUGUGUAGUGUUGUGGGAGCCUGAAGGGCAUGCCACAUAAUAACAGGGAGGAGAAGCAUGACAAGUAAAAAGGAUCAGGUCUUGCAGGGCCUUGUAUUUUAUAUCAAGAGGCUGAGAGAUCAUCCCAAUGCUGAUGAAGAGUCCACCGAAGAAGAAUAGUGCUAGAACAUUGACUGCUUUUGACUGCUUGGAUCCUACCUUCUGGUAACAAAGCCCAUCUUCUCCCCUUGGAGGACACUUUUCUUUCCACUCACAGUUUAUAUGAUCCCAUUCUCAGGCUCCAGGCUAAGUGCUGCUUGUACCUGGUUUGUUCAAGGAAGAUCAUCCGGCCCAAACCAGUCCAGACUUUUGUUGAAGCAAUUAGUGAAGAAGUGUCCAUUUUCUUUUGGAGUUAGUAAAAUUGUAGGAUUUAAGUCUGGAAUCUCUUAGUGGCAUUCCCUACUAGGGAAGGCCUUGAGAAUGAAACCAUAGAAGAGAUUGGGACUGAGAGAAGUGGAGACCUAUUCCUGAUGAACUUGUUUGGACAACUGGAUCCAGCCAUGCUAGAAGCUAAUACUAUCCCUGGAUGAUUAACACAAGCCAAUAUAUUCUCACUUUUUUUUUUUU